RNAcentral lists this ribosomal RNA (253 nucleotides) under uncultured bacterium. RNAcentral describes it as "partial 16S ribosomal RNA". It matches the Rfam family "Bacterial small subunit ribosomal RNA", at positions 524 to 776 of the family's 1533-position model. The record is from RNAcentral.
UACAGAGGGUGCAAGCGUUAAUCGGAAUUACUGGGCGUAAAGCGUGCGUAGCCGGUUACAUAAGUCGGGUGUGAAAGCCCCGGGCUCAACCUGGGAAUUGCAUUCGAGACUGCGUAGCUAGGGUGCGGAAGAGGGAAGCGGAAUUUCCGGUGUAGCGGUGAAAUGCGUAGAUAUCGGAAGGAACACCAGUGGCGAAAGCGGCUUCCUGGUCCAGCACCGACGUUCAGGCACGAAAGCGUGGUGAGCAAACCGG